AGCAGCCGCGGUAAUUCCAGCUCCAAUAGCGUAUAUUAAAGUUGUUGCAGUUAAAAAGCUCGUAGUUGAAUUUCGGGGUUCUACCGUUGGUCGGGCUUUGUCUGUACUGGCGUGUAGAAUUUCUACCUUCUGGGGAACUAUCAUGUUAUUAAUUUAGCGCGGUAGGAAACCAGGACCUUUACCUUGAAAAAUUAGAGUGUUCAAAGCAGGCUUAAUGUCUGAAUACAUUAGCAUGGAAUAAUAAAAUAGGACGGUGGUCCUGUUUUGUUGGUUUCUGAAUCACCGUAAUGAUUAAUAGGGAUAGUUGGGGGCAUUAGUAUUCAAUUGUCAGAGGUGAAAUUCUUGGAUUUAUUGAAGACUAACUACUGCGAAAGCAUUUGCCAAGGAUGUUUUCAUUAAUCAAGAACGAAAGUUAGGGGAUCGAAGACGAUCAGAUACCGUCGUAGUCUUAACCAUAAACUAUGCCGACUAGGGAUCGGACGAUGUUAACUUUUCUUGACUCGUUCGGCGCCUUACGGGA
This 520-nucleotide ribosomal RNA is filed under the name uncultured Scutellospora. RNAcentral describes it as "SSU rRNA". It matches the Rfam family "Eukaryotic small subunit ribosomal RNA", at positions 569 to 1095 of the family's 1831-position model. The record is from RNAcentral. Lineage: Eukaryota; Fungi; Glomeromycota; Glomeromycetes; Diversisporales; Gigasporaceae.